This 882-nucleotide unclassified non-coding RNA is filed under the name Hevea brasiliensis (rubber tree). Lineage: Eukaryota; Viridiplantae; Streptophyta; Magnoliopsida; Malpighiales; Euphorbiaceae. The record is from RNAcentral.
AACGAACCGCCCUGGACGCCGUUUCACCGCAUCAAAUAACUUAUGUUUGGUUGCUGAGAAACCUAAGGAAAGUGCAAGAUUUUUCUCGGCGUCACCAUUUCCGGAUCAGCGCUGAAUCACUCCUUUAAUUAGUUGAAUCCCAGUGUUUGAUCAAUGGAAGCCAAUGAAAAACUUGAAGAAACUGUCUCAAAUGCAAGUCCAAAAUUGGUUGGAACUGUUAACUGGGGCACAGCAACAGUCGUUGGAGUGUUUGCAGGCAUGCUAUAUGGAGGUAGCAAGGAGGCAGCUGCAUCAGUUAGCAAGGAUGCAGAAGUAAUGUUGAAGCUUGGGAGCACUCCAGACAAGCGUGAACAGUAUCGAUUAAUGAGGGAUGCAAUGGAGAAAAGGUUUAUCCGAGUCACUCGUGGUUCAAUAGUUGGUGGAGUGCGCCUUGGAAUGUUCACUGCUGCAUUCUACGGUCUACAAAAUUUGCUGGCUGAGAAACGUGGUUUACAUGACGUUUUCAAUGUUGUGGGAGCCGGUUCAGCUACUGCUGCUACAUUUGGUUUAAUUUUGCCUGGAUCUUUCCGAUGGCGUGCAAGGAAUGUGCUGCUGGGAUCAGUUCUGGGUGCAGCAUUCUGCUUCCCUCUUGGGUGGAUUCACUUGAAGCUUAUAGAGAAAGCAAAUGAAGGAAAUCCGGCCCUUAAUCCUCAUUUAGAUGGAAGGGGACAAGCGAAGAGUGGUGUAGGUGCUGCGAUUGAGAGGCUUGAAGGAAACUUGAAAGCUGAAUAAACAAGCUCAGUUUUGUUGGGCAUAACCUCCUGGACAUCCCAUAGGUAAAAAAUGUAAUACAUUGGCCACACGCCUGGUUCUUUUUCUUCUGUUUUCUCAGUGGUCCAUGAG